CCCGCCCGCACCCGCCCGUCCGACUAGCAUCACUACUCUGGACAGUUCUGACUUAGAAUAUAUGGACAACUACAAAUACCUACAUGUCUGGCUAGACUGUAAACUCUCCUUCCAGACUCAUAUUAAGCAUCUCCAAUCCAAAAUUAAAUCUAGAAUCGGCUUCCUAUUUCGCAACAAAGUCUCCUUCACUCACGCUGUCAAACAUACCCUCGUAAAACUGACUAUCCUACCGACCCUCAACUUCGGCGAUGUAAUUUACAAAAUAGCCUCCAACACUCUACUCAGCAAACUGGAUGCAGUCUAUCACAGUGCCAUCUGUUUUGUCACCAAAGCCCCAUAUACCACCCACCACUGCGACCUGUAUGCUCUCGUCGGCUGGCCCUCGCUACAUAUUCGUCGCCAGACCCACUGGCUCCAGGUCAUCUAUAAGUUAUUAUCACUGGAGGCUUCGUGCCAUGGAUCAUCACUGGAGGCUUCGUGCCAUGGAUCAUCCCUACAGGUUCCGGGCCAUGGAUCAUCACUGGAGGCUUCGUGCCAUGGAUCAUCCCUACAGGCUCCGGGCCAUGGAUCAUCACUGGAGGCUUCGGACCAUAGAUCAUCCUUGGAGGCUUCCUACGUGGAGCUGGAACCGGUCUCACCGGACUGGGGAGACACACAGGAGACUGGGUGCGCAGAGCAGUCACAGGGUAUACUGGGCCGUGAAGGUGCACUGGAGGUCUGGAGCUUAGGGCUGGCACACCCCGUCCUGGCUGGAUGUUUAUUUUAGCCCAGCAAGGGCGGAGCGCUGGCACAGGACGAACUGGUUUGUGCUGGUGAAUGGGGGGUACCGUGAGUAGAGCUGGCGCAGGAUAACCUGGGUUUAAGAGACACACUGAAGACCAGGAACGUUGGCUGACUGCCAACUCUAGCACGGCAACUGUGAGGAGCUUGCACUGAGCGCACCGGGCUGUGAGUGCGCACUGGCGACACAGUGCGCAUCACCGCAUAACACGGUGCUUGCUGGGUCACUCGCUCCCCACGGUAAGCAUGGGGAGUUGGCUCAGGUCUCAGCCCCGACUUCGCCAAUGUCCCCGUGUGCCCCCUCCCCCUAAUUUUUUUUGCCCUGCCUCUCGGGCUUCCGUUGUUGCCGUGCUUGUUUCUCCCAGUAUCGCCGUUCCGCUUUCGCUGCCUCUAUCUCCUCUUGCGGAUGGCAAUACUCCCCAGGCCUUGUCCAGGGUCCUGCCCCAUCCAGGAUUUCCUCCCAGGUCCAGUCCUCCUGACCACGCUGCUUGGUCCUUUGGUGGUGGGAUCUUCUGUAACGGUUGUCCAAAGGAGUAGACCAAGGUGCAGCGUGGUAAGUGUUCAUCUUGAUAUUUAUUUUUACUCAGAACACUUAAACAAAAUAAUAAACAAUGGUAAACGACCAUCACGUCUUGCUGGCUUACCGAGCAGUACAAAAAUAAGAUCCCACAACUCAAGGAGGGAAAAAGGGCUGCCUAAGUAUGGUUCCCAAUCAGAACCAACGAUAGGCAGCUGCCUCUGAUUGGAAACCAUACCUGGCCAAAACACAGAAAUAUAAAACAUAGAAUGCCCACCCCACACCCUGACCUAACAAAAUAGAGAAAUAAACCGUCUCUCUCAGGUCAGGGCGUGACACAACACCCACUCGUAGCAUGCGCUCCAGCAGGUAUAUCUCACUGGUCAUCCCCAAAGCCAACACCUCCUUUGGCCGCCUUUCCUUCCAGUUCUCUGCUGCCAAUGACUGGAACGAAUUGCAAAAAUUGCUUAAGUUGGACACUUAUAUCUCCCUCACUAACUUUAAGCAUCAGCUAUCUGAGCAGCUUACCGAUCGCUGCAGCCCAUUUGUAAAUAGCACAUCCAACUACCAAUCUCAUCCCCAUAUUGUUUUUAUUUACUUUUUAAAAAAUUAUUUUGCACACCAGUAUUUCUACUUGCACAUCAU
This 1942-nucleotide long non-coding RNA is filed under the name Salmo salar (Atlantic salmon). Its description in RNAcentral is "lncRNA (ENSSSAG00000094135.1)". Lineage: Eukaryota; Metazoa; Chordata; Actinopteri; Salmoniformes; Salmonidae. The record is from RNAcentral.